Molecule: ribosomal RNA, 391 nt
Filed under: uncultured bacterium
Lineage: Bacteria
Description: bacterial SSU rRNA
Rfam family: Bacterial small subunit ribosomal RNA
Source: RNAcentral
GACGAACGCUGGCGGCGUGCUUAACACAUGCAAGUCGAGCGGUAAGGCCCUUUCGGGGGUACACGAGCGGCGAACGGGUGAGUAACACGUGGGUGACCUGCCCUCAGCUCUGGGAUAAGCCCGGGAAACUGGGUCUAAUACUGGAUAUGACUCCAUGACGCAUGUUGUGGGGUGGAAAGCCUUGUGCGGCUGGGGAUGGGCCCGCGGCCUAUCAGCUUGUUGGUGGGGNGAUGGCCUACCAAGGCGACGACGGGUAGCCGGCCUGAGAGGGCGACCGGCCACACUGGGACUGAGACACGGCCCAGACUCCUACGGGAGGCAGCAGUGGGGAAUCUUGCGCAAUGGGCGAAAGCCUGACGCAGCGACGCCGCGUGAGGGAUGACGGCCUCGG